GCGCACCAGUCGAGAAUCCUCCGCAAUGCUCGAAAGAGCGACGGGGGACUCCAAGUGCCUACGCUCAGCGUAGGCUGUUCCCGAGCCUAAAAAGCUCGGGGAGUAAGGGCUGGGUAAGACGGGUGCCAGCCGCCGCGGUAAUACCCGCAGCCCGAGUGGUGGCCGCUAUUAUUGGGCCUAAAGCGUCCGUAGCCGGCUCGGUAAACGGCCUGGGUAAAUCGUCUGGCCCAACCAGACGAAUUCCGGGUAGACUGCCGGGCUAGGGACCGGAGGAGGGGAGA
Molecule: ribosomal RNA, 281 nt
Filed under: uncultured microorganism
Description: partial 16S ribosomal RNA
Rfam family: Archaeal small subunit ribosomal RNA
Source: RNAcentral